AAAUAACUUAAGAGGCAACUCUUAACUGGCCAAUUGAGGAAAAACCGAGAGGUUCAAGCUCAGGGGGCAGAAAACUCUGCGGAGUAGCGCUAAAAUCGUAGAGUGGUCGGCAUGGCGGUAGCGCAUACAACGACGUGCCAA
The submitters of this non-coding RNA (141 nucleotides) gave its source as unclassified sequences. The record is from Rfam.